UACGGGGGGAGCAAGCGUUGUUCGGAUUUACUGGGCGUAAAGGGCGCGUAGGCGGCGUGACAAGUCACUUGUGAAAUCUCCGGGCUUAACUCGGAACGGUCAAGUGAUACUGUCGUGCUAGAGUACAGAAGGGGCAACUGGAAUUCUCGGUGUAGCGGUGAAAUGCGUAGAUAUCGGGAAGAACACCCGUGGCGAAGGCGGUUCUCUGGGACGGUACUGACGCUGAGACGCGAAAGCGUGGGGAGCGAACAGG
Molecule: ribosomal RNA, 253 nt
Filed under: uncultured bacterium
Lineage: Bacteria
Description: partial 16S ribosomal RNA
Rfam family: Bacterial small subunit ribosomal RNA
Source: RNAcentral